Molecule: non-coding RNA, 651 nt
Organism: Budorcas taxicolor (takin)
Lineage: Eukaryota; Metazoa; Chordata; Mammalia; Artiodactyla; Bovidae
Source: the annotation of a RefSeq genome assembly
CGGCAGGACGCCGAGAUGUCCACCAUGGCCUGGUCCCCUCUGCUCCUCACCCUGGUCGCUCUCUGCACAGGAACCUGGGCCCAGGCUGUGCUGACUCAGCCGUCCUCUGUGUCCAAGUCCCUGGGCCAGAGCGUCUCCAUCACCUGCUCUGGAAGCAGCAGCAACGUUGGAUAUGGUAAUUAUGUGGGCUGGUUCCAACAGGUCCCAGGAUCAGCCCCCAAACUCCUCAUCUAUGGUACAACCAGUCGAGCCUCGGGGGUCCCCGACCGAUUCUCCGGCUCCAGGUCUGGCAACACAGCGACUCUGACCAUCAGCUCACUCCAGGCUGAGGACGAGGCCGAUUAUUACUGUGCAUCUUAUGACAGUAGUAGCAGUGGGGUGGAUGCUCAGACCAUGGUCCAGGAGCCAGCACUGUCAGUGUCUCCAGGAGGGACGGUCACCCUCACCUGGGGCCUUAGCUCUGGGUCAGUCACCACCAGAUCCUGGGCCCAGGCUGUGCUGACUCAGCCGCCCUCUGUUUCCCGAACUUUGGGUCAGAGGACGACCAUCUCUUGCACUGGAAGCAGCAACAAAAUCAGGGGUUAUUAUGUGAGCUGGUACCAACAGCUCCCAGGAUCGGCCCCCAGACUCCUGACCUAUGAAAACGGCUAA